CUCGUUUAAUAAAUGAGCCGAAUGCGAGCUGGCUAGUUAAAGUAUCGAGUCGAAAAAUUCAGCCGAACACGAGCUGGCCAACAAAGAAUAAGUUAAAAAGACUAGAUUGAAUAUAUAUAAAAAAUAAAUUUAUAAAAUCAUACCCAUUAGAUUUUGAUCUAAUAAUUAAAAUUUUACAUAUAAAUGAGUCUUUUUAUAAUUGAGCUCGUCUUUAUAUUUUUAUUUUGCUAAAAAUUAAAUAAUAAAAAUAUAUAUUAUAUAUAAUUAUUUAUUUAUAUAUAUAAAUAUAAAUUAAAUAAAUUAUAUAAAUAUAAAAUAUAUGUAUUCGAGCCGUUAUCGAGCCGAACACGAGCGAGCUGAUUCCAACUCGUAUUCGAUUCGUUUAUUAAACGAGUCAAAAAAUUGAGCUUGUGUUUGACUCGUUCAUUAAACGAGUGAUUCGAUCUCGAGUUCAUUUCGAGCCGAACAUGAGCUAGCUCGCGAACAGCGAGCUGGAUUGCCACCCCUACAUGAUCUACUA
RNAcentral lists this long non-coding RNA (520 nucleotides) under Ananas comosus (pineapple). RNAcentral's name for it is "long non-coding RNA (ACOM_LNC015325)". The record is from RNAcentral. Lineage: Eukaryota; Viridiplantae; Streptophyta; Magnoliopsida; Poales; Bromeliaceae.